This 253-nucleotide ribosomal RNA is filed under the name uncultured bacterium. RNAcentral's name for it is "partial 16S ribosomal RNA". It matches the Rfam family "Bacterial small subunit ribosomal RNA", at positions 524 to 776 of the family's 1533-position model. The record is from RNAcentral.
UACGUAGGGUGCAAGCGUUAAUCGGAAUUACUGGGCGUAAAGCGUGCGCAGGCGGUUUUGUAAGUCAGAUGUGAAAUCCCCGGGCUUAACCUGGGAACUGCGUUUGAAACUACAAGGCUAGAGUGUGACAGAGGGGGGUGGAAUUCCACGUGUAGCAGCGAAAUGCGUAGAGAUGUGGAGGAACACCGAUGGCGAAGGCAGCCCCCUGGGUUAACACUGACGCUCAGGCACGAAAGCGUGGGGAGCAAACAGG